AUUGAACGCUGGCGGAAUGCUUUACACAUGCAAGUCGAACGGCAGCACGGGGCAACCUGGUGGCGAGUGGCGAACGGGUGAGUAAUACAUCGGAACGUGCCCAAUCGUGGGGGAUAACGUAGCGAAAGUUACGCUAAUACCGCAUACGAUCUACGGAUGAAGGCGGGGGAUCGCAAGACCUCGCGCGAAUGGAGCGGCCGAUGUCAGAUUAGGUAGUUGGUGGGGUAAAGGCUCACCAAGCCAACGAUCUGUAGCUGGUCUGAGAGGACGACCAGCCACACUGGAACUGAGACACGGUCCAGACUCCUACGGGAGGCAGCAGUGGGGAAUUUUGGACAAUGGGCGCAAGCCUGAUCCAGCCAUUCCGCGUGCAGGAUGAAGGCCUUCGGGUUGUAAACUGCUUUUGUACGGAACGAAACGGUCUGCCCUAAUACGGCGGGCUAAUGACGGUACCGUAAGAAUAAGCACCGGCUAACUACGUG
Molecule: ribosomal RNA, 482 nt
Filed under: uncultured bacterium
Lineage: Bacteria
Description: bacterial SSU rRNA
Rfam family: Bacterial small subunit ribosomal RNA
Source: RNAcentral